CGGCGGACGGGUGAGUAACGCGUGGGUAACCUACCCUGUACACACGGAUAACAUACCGAAAGGUAUGCUAAUACGGGAUAAUAUAUUUGAGAGGCAUCUCUUGAAUAUCAAAGGUGAGCCAGUACAGGAUGGACCCGCGUCUGAUUAGCUAGUUGGUAAGGUAACGGCUUACCAAGGCGACGAUCAGUAGCCGACCUGAGAGGGUGAUCGGCCACAUUGGAACUGAGACACGGUCCAAACUCCUACGGGAGGCAGCAUG
Molecule: ribosomal RNA, 259 nt
Filed under: uncultured bacterium
Lineage: Bacteria
Description: partial 16S ribosomal RNA
Rfam family: Bacterial small subunit ribosomal RNA
Source: RNAcentral